Molecule: ribosomal RNA, 503 nt
Filed under: uncultured bacterium
Lineage: Bacteria
Description: bacterial SSU rRNA
Rfam family: Bacterial small subunit ribosomal RNA
Source: RNAcentral
AACGAACGCUGGCGGCAGGCCUAACACAUGCAAGUCGUACGGUAAGGCCCCUUCGGGGGUACACGAGUGGCGCACGGGUGAGUAACGCGUGGGUAAUCUGCCCUCUGGUCUGGGACAACUCCGGGAAACUGGAGCUAAUACCGGAUGAGCCCACAGGGUCUACGGGCCUGGUGGGAAAAGGUGGCCUCUCCUUGGAAGCUACCGCGAGAGGAUGAGCCCGCGUCCCAUUAGCUUGUUGGUGGGGUAACGGCCUACCAAGGCGACGAUGGGUAGCUGGUCUGAGAGGAUGAUCAGCCACACUGGAACUGAGACACGGUCCAGACUCCUACGGGAGGCAGCAGUCGGGAAUUUUGGGCAAUGGGCGAAAGCCUGACCCAGCAACGCCGCGUGAGGGAUGAAAGGCCCUCGGGUCGUAAACCUCUGUCGGGAGGGAAGAACGUCUGCCGGGUAAACAAUCCGGUGGGCUGACGGUACCUCCAAAGGAAGCACCGGCUAACUCCGUG